This 642-nucleotide ribosomal RNA is filed under the name Nocardioides sp. I25. Its description in RNAcentral is "bacterial SSU rRNA". It matches the Rfam family "Bacterial small subunit ribosomal RNA", at positions 97 to 752 of the family's 1533-position model. Lineage: Bacteria; Bacillati; Actinomycetota; Actinomycetes; Propionibacteriales; Nocardioidaceae. The record is from RNAcentral.
GGCGAACGGGUGAGUAACCGUGAGCAAUCUGCCCUUCACUCGCGGAUAACUACCGGAAACGGUGGCUAAUACGUGAUGCGACCGCUUCCUGCAUGGGAUGGUGGUGGAAAGUUUUGGCGGUGGGGGAUGAGCUCGCGGCCUAUCAGCUUGUUGGUGAGGUAAUGGCUUACCAAGGCUUCGACGGGUAGCCGGCCUGAGAGGGUGACCGGCCACACUGGGACUGAGACACGGCCCACACUCCUACGGGAGGCAGCAGUGGGGAAUAUUGGACAAUGGGCGAAAGCCUGAUCCAGCAACGCCGCGUGAGGGAUGACGGCCUUCGGGUUGUAAACCUCUUUCAGUACCGACGAAGCGCAAGUGACGGUAGGUACAGAAGAAGCACCGGCCAACUACGUGCCAGCAGCCGCGGUAAUACGUAGGGUGCGAGCGUUGUCCGGAAUUAUUGGGCGUAAAGGGCUCGUAGGCGGUUUGUCACGUCGGGAGUGAAAACUCGGGGCUUAACUCCGAGCCUGCUUCCGAUACGGGCUGACUAGAGGUAUGCAGGGGAGAACGGAAUUCCUGGUGUAGCGGUGAAAUGCGCAAUAUCAGGAGGAACACCCGGUGGCGAAGGCGGUUCUCUGGGCAUUACCCUGACGCUGAGGA